CAGCAGCCGCGGUAAUACGUAGGUGGCAAGCGUUGUCCGGAAUUAUGGGGCGUAAAGGGCUCGCAGGCGGUUUCUUAAGUCUGAUGUGAAAGCCCCCGGCUCAACCGGGGAGGGUCAUUGGAAACUGGGAAACUUGAGUGCAGAAGAGGAGAGUGGAAUUCCACGUGUAGCGGUGAAAUGCGUAGAGAUGUGGAGGAACACCAGCGGCGAAGGCGACUCUCUGGUCUGUAACUGACGCUGAGGAGCGAAAGCGUGGGGAGCGAACAGGAUUAGAUACCCGAGUAGUCCCUGUCUCUUAUAC
RNAcentral lists this ribosomal RNA (301 nucleotides) under uncultured bacterium. RNAcentral describes it as "partial 16S ribosomal RNA". It matches the Rfam family "Bacterial small subunit ribosomal RNA", at positions 509 to 807 of the family's 1533-position model. The record is from RNAcentral.